This 468-nucleotide ribosomal RNA is filed under the name uncultured bacterium. RNAcentral's name for it is "partial 16S ribosomal RNA". It matches the Rfam family "Bacterial small subunit ribosomal RNA", at positions 28 to 507 of the family's 1533-position model. The record is from RNAcentral.
GACGAACGCUGGCGGCGUGCUUAACACAUGCAAGUCGAACGGAAAGGCCCUGCUUUUGUGGGGUGCUCGAGUGGCGAACGGGUGAGUAACACGUGAGUAACCUGCCCUUGACUUUGGUAUAACUUCAGGAAAUUGGGGCUAAUACCGGAUAGGAGCUCCUGCUGCAUGGUGGGGGUUGGAAAGUUUCGGCGGUUGGGGAUGGACUAGCGGCUUAUCAGCUUGUUGGUGGGGUAGUGGCUUACCAAGGCUUUGACGGGUAGCCGGCCUGAGAGGGUGACCGGCCACAUUGGGACUGAGAUACGGCCCAGACUGCUACGGGAGGCAGCAGUGGGGAAUAUUGCGCCGUAGGCGGAAGCCUUAUGCAGCAACGCCGCGUGCGGGAUGACGGCCUUCGGGUUGUAAACCGCUUUCGCCUGUGACGAAGCGUGAGUGACGGUAAUGUGUAAAGAAGCACCGGCUAACUACGUG